Callithrix jacchus (white-tufted-ear marmoset) is the source of this 107-nucleotide small nuclear RNA. Lineage: Eukaryota; Metazoa; Chordata; Mammalia; Primates; Cebidae. The record is from Ensembl.
GUGCUCACUUCAGCUGCAUAUAUACUAAAAUUGGAAUAAUACAGAGAAGAUUCGCAUGGCCCCUGUGCAAGGAUGACAUAUUAAUUUGUGAAGCAUUCUGUAUUUUU